GAUGAACGCUGGCGGCGUGCUUAACACAUGCAAGUCGAACGGAAAGGCCAGUGCUUGCCCUGGUACUCGAGUGGCGAACGGGUGAGUAACACGUGGGUGAUCUGCCCUGUACUUCGGGAUAAGCUUGGGAAACUGGGUCUAAUACCGGAUAGGACAACUUUUUGGAUAUUGUUGUGGAAAGCUUUUGCGGUAUGGGAUGAGCUCGCGGCCUAUCAGCUUGUUGGUGGGGUAAUGGCCUACCAAGGCGUCGACGGGUAGCCGGCCUGAGAGGGUGUACGGCCACAUUGGGACUGAGAUACGGCCCAGACUCCUACGGGAGGCAGCAGUGGGGAAUAUUGCACAAUGGGCGCAAGCCUGAUGCAGCGACGCCGCGUGGGGGAUGAAGGCCUUCGGGUUGUAAACUCCUUUCGCUAGGGACGAAGCUUUUUUGUGACGGUACCUGGAGAAGAAGCACCGGCUAACUACGUG
Molecule: ribosomal RNA, 468 nt
Filed under: uncultured bacterium
Lineage: Bacteria
Description: partial 16S ribosomal RNA
Rfam family: Bacterial small subunit ribosomal RNA
Source: RNAcentral